Molecule: long non-coding RNA, 263 nt
Filed under: Monodelphis domestica (gray short-tailed opossum)
Lineage: Eukaryota; Metazoa; Chordata; Mammalia; Didelphimorphia; Didelphidae
Description: lncRNA (ENSMODG00000051364.1)
Source: RNAcentral
CCCACUGUUUCAGCAGACUGAGAGUAGCAGAGAUAUGAUUUUAUCCAGCAGGAGAGUGGCUCCAAAUAAGAAGACCACCGAGCAGGUGACAUAUGGUGCCAAAUGUAGGCUGUCAGCAGAGAAAGACUGAGAUGCAAGUAAUGAGACAAAGAGAUGAGCUUGGGUUCACAAAGGAACAUUUGGAGGAAAAAUCUCUGCAAGAGCCAUCUGGCAGAGUGCUUUCAGCCAAACCUCAUGGGGACUCAUCAGAGCCACAGGAAGAA